AUGAACGCUGGCGGCGUGCCUAAUACAUGCAAGUCGAGCGCACAGACGAGGAGCUUGCUCCUCUGACGUUAGCGGCGGACGGGUGAGUAACACGUGGAUAACCUACCUAUAAGACUGGGAUAACUUCGGGAAACCGGAGCUAAUACCGGAUAAUAUAUUGAACCGCAUGGUUCAAUAGUGAAAGACGGUUUUGCUGUCACUUAUAGAUGGAUCCGCGCCGCAUUAGCUAGUUGGUAAGGUAACGGCUUACCAAGGCAACGAUGCGUAGCCGACCUGAGAGGGUGAUCGGCCACACUGGAACUGAGACACGGUCCAGACUCCUACGGGAGGCGGCAGUAGGGAAUCUUCCGCAAUGGGCGAAAGCCUGACGGAGCAACGCCGCGUGAGUGAUGAAGGUCUUCGGAUCGUAAAACUCUGUUAUUAGGGAGGAACAAAUGUGUAAGUAACUAUGCACGUCUUGACGGUACCUAAUCAGAAAGCCACGGCUAACUACGUG
RNAcentral lists this ribosomal RNA (496 nucleotides) under uncultured bacterium. RNAcentral describes it as "partial 16S ribosomal RNA". It matches the Rfam family "Bacterial small subunit ribosomal RNA", at positions 29 to 507 of the family's 1533-position model. The record is from RNAcentral.